GAGGGACUAUAAUGCAGUCGAACGGUAGCGGGAAGAAGCUUGCUUCUUUGCCGACGAGUGGCGGACGGGUGAGUAAUGUCUGGGGAUCUGCCCGGUAGAGGGGGAUAACCACUGGAAACGGUGGCUAAUACCGCAUAAUGUCGCAAGACCAAAGUGGGGGACCUUCGGGCCUCACACUACCGGAUGAACCCAGAUGGGAUUAGCUAGUUGGUGGGGUAAGGGCUCACCAAGGCGACGAUCCCUAGCUGGUCUGAGAGGAUGACCAGCCACACUGGAACUGAGACACGGUCCAGACUCCUACGGGAGGCAGCAGUGGGGAAUAUUGCACAAUGGGCGCAAGCCUGAUGCAGCCAUGCCGCGUGUAUGAAGAAGGCCUUCGGGUUGUAAAGUACUUUCAGCGGGGAGGAAGGGGGUGAGGUUAAUAACCUCGCUCAUUGACGUUACCCGCAGAAGAAGCACCGGCUAACUCCGUGCCAGCAGCCGCGGUAAUACGGAGGGUGCAAGCGUUAAUCGGAAUUACUGGGCGUAAAGCGCACGCAGGCGGUCUGUUAAGUCAGAUGUGAAAUCCCCGGGCUUAACCCGGGAACUGCAUUUGAAACUGGCAGGCUUGAGUCUCGUAGAGGGGGGUGGAAUUCCAGGUGUAGCGGUGAAAUGCGUAGAGAUCUGGAGGAAUACCGGUGGCGAAGGCGGCCCCCUGGACGAAGACUGACGCUCAGGUGCGAAAGCGUGGGGGAGCAAACAGGAUUAGAUACCCUGGUAGUCCACGCUGUAAACGAUGUCGACUUGGAGGUUGUGCCCUUGAGGCGUGGCUUCCGGAGCUAACGCGUUAAGUCGACCGCCUGGGAGUAC
RNAcentral lists this ribosomal RNA (849 nucleotides) under Pantoea deleyi. Its description in RNAcentral is "bacterial SSU rRNA". It matches the Rfam family "Bacterial small subunit ribosomal RNA", at positions 42 to 883 of the family's 1533-position model. Lineage: Bacteria; Pseudomonadati; Pseudomonadota; Gammaproteobacteria; Enterobacterales; Erwiniaceae. The record is from RNAcentral.